RNAcentral lists this ribosomal RNA (253 nucleotides) under uncultured bacterium. RNAcentral describes it as "partial 16S ribosomal RNA". It matches the Rfam family "Bacterial small subunit ribosomal RNA", at positions 524 to 776 of the family's 1533-position model. The record is from RNAcentral.
UACGUAGGGGGCAAGCGUUGUCCGGAAUCAUUGGGCGUAAAGCGCGUGUAGGCGGUCCGGUAAGUCCGCUGUGAAAGUCGGGGCUCAACCCUCGGAUGCCGGUGGAUACUGUCGGGCUUGAGUACGGAAGAGGCGAGUUGGAAUUCCUGGUGUAGCGGUGAAAUGCGCAGAGUAUCAAGGAAGAACACCCGUGGCGAAGGCGGUUCUCUGGGACGGUACUGACGCUGAGACGCGAAGCGUGGGAGCGAACAGG